AUGCUCGACACCUACGGGAGACAGCAGGUGGGGAAUAUUGCACAAGUGGGGGAAACCCUGAUGCAGCGACGCCGCGUGAAGGAAGAAGUAUUUCGGUAUGUAAACUUCUAUCAGCAGGGAAGAAAAUGACGGUACCUGACUAAGAACGCCCCGGCUAACUACGUGCCAGCAGCCGUGGUAAUCUGAGCGGGCUGGCAAGGC
Molecule: ribosomal RNA, 201 nt
Filed under: uncultured bacterium
Lineage: Bacteria
Description: partial 16S ribosomal RNA
Rfam family: Bacterial small subunit ribosomal RNA
Source: RNAcentral